GAUGAACGCUAGCGGCAGGCUUAACACAUGCAAGUCGAGGGGUAUAGUAGCAAUACUAGAGACCGGCGCACGGGUGCGUAACGCGUAUGCAAUCUACCUUUCACAGAGGGAUAGCCCAGAGAAAUUUGGAUUAAUACCUCAUAGUAUAGUACCUUGGCAUCAAGGAACUAUUAAAGUCACAACGGUGAAAGAUGAGCAUGCGUCCCAUUAGCUAGUUGGUAUGGUAACGGCAUACCAAGGCGACGAUGGGUAGGGGUCCUGAGAGGGAGAUCCCCCACACUGGUACUGAGACACGGACCAGACUCCUACGGGUGGCUG
Molecule: ribosomal RNA, 318 nt
Filed under: uncultured Bacteroidota bacterium
Lineage: Bacteria; Pseudomonadati; Bacteroidota
Description: bacterial SSU rRNA
Rfam family: Bacterial small subunit ribosomal RNA
Source: RNAcentral